GAUGAACGCUGACAGAAUGCUUAACACAUGCAAGUCGAUGGGGAAGUGGUGCUUGCACCAUGGUAACCAUGGCGGACGGGUGAGUAACGCGUAAGGAACUUGCCUGCGGGACUGGGAUAACAGCAGGAAACUGCUGAUAAUACCGGAUAAGGUCAUUAAGCUGCAUAGCUUAGUGAUGAAAGGAGACGCCUUCGGAGAGCCUUGCGUCCUAUUAGCUAGUUGGAGGGGUAACGGCCCACCAAGGCGAAGAUAGGUAGCCGGCCUGAGAGGGUGGACGGCCACAAGGGGACUGAGAUACGGCCCUUACUCCUACGGGAGGCAGCAGUGGGGAAUAUUGGACAAUGGGGGCAACCCUGAUCCAGCAAUUCUGUGUGCACGAAGACGGUUUUCGGAUUGUAAAGUGCUUUCAGCAGGGAAGAAGGAAGUGACGGUACCUGCAGAAGAAGCGACGGCUAAAUACGUG
This 463-nucleotide ribosomal RNA is filed under the name uncultured bacterium. Its description in RNAcentral is "partial 16S ribosomal RNA". It matches the Rfam family "Bacterial small subunit ribosomal RNA", at positions 28 to 507 of the family's 1533-position model. The record is from RNAcentral.